Sapajus apella (tufted capuchin) is the source of this 5890-nucleotide long non-coding RNA. RefSeq lists it as uncharacterized. The record is from RefSeq and is a predicted model, not a curated record. NCBI's taxonomy places the organism in Eukaryota, Metazoa, Chordata, Mammalia, Primates, Cebidae. The transcript has 3 exons.
GAGAGAGCUAUAUAGUCCCUUAGUCAUGUAAAGGCUGACCCUUCCCCACUGGUCUAAAAGAGGGCUUCUGGACCAUGCCUGACCACAGCCAUCUGAUCCUGUAGAGCCUUUAACCCAGUACCUCUGUUUAAAGAAACAAAAGUCCCCUCCUAAAUAAACAAAGCAGGCUUAGCUCAAAUCCCUCCAAUAGGUAAAAGAAAGUACCAUUCCCAUGAGCGAGAGACUUGGAUUUCUGAUUUUAUUUCAUGUUGUUUCCCUUCCUCAAAGGUGUGAAACUCUACACCACCCCACUCCUUUCCUAUUCAUCCUCCAUUGGAUGUUUUUUUCUCUAAAUAAUUUUUUAUUUUCUAUUUUUGUCUGUAUGUGUUCUCUUCUUGCAGUCUACUUCUGCCCUUCUUUCCCCUGGGAAGGAAAAAUAGAAGAAAGAAGCCAUCUCUGUUUGCUUUCUCUCUGUCACUCAAUGUCUGGAGCCAACUGCUUCACAAAUAAAGAAAAGUGCCCAGAGAGUCCCUGAAGCCCACCAUCAACAGACAGGCUUUCAACAAAACUGCAUCAGCACCACCUUGGCUAUAGCUGCCCUCUGCAGAAAACGGGGAGAGAGGAACAGUGCUAAGAGAAGUUUGUCCUUGCCUGGUUCCUGGGUGGAACUUCCUCUCCCCCUUGUGUUCUACACGUGUGGUUACAGCUGCCUCUGAUCUUUGGUGACCAGCGGUGGGCAGUGGUGGUAUUUUAGCAUACUUUGAUCAUCAUACUUAUUACACAGCCUCCUUUACUCAUCAACCCCACCUGCCUUUUCCUAGCCAUGCCCCCCACCUCCUCCCAUCUCUGUCCACCUCUCUGCUGUUUUAAAAAGUACUUAAGUGUGUACAGAUCACAGUGCACUGCUUGUGUGCCCAUUCAUAUUUGAUGACUUCCAUAUCCCCCGUACAACUAGUUGUGUAUUCGUUUUAAUUCACCUUAUUUAUUUCCUAGCUCUUUCAUAAAAUAAAAUGAAAUAAAAGAAUAAAAUGGGAAUAAGAGAAAAAUAGAAUUGAGGGGGAAAGGAGAAAUGCAUCUAUGUUUUUAAUCAGGUUCAUCUUUCUCCAUGCAUCAAUAUGCAUACUAUUAUGAAUUCAUUACACGUAUUUUAACAUGCAGGCACUACACGGGGGUGUGAUGUCUACAUACCACCUGUGUAGCGGUAGGCACUGCAAAAGGACAUAGAAAAGUAAAAAGCAUAGUCUCUACUCUCAUGAGACUUUUCAUCUCAUGGAGGAGGCACUCAUAAGGUCUUUUAUCUGUGCCCCACUUGAUGUGAAACUCUUGGUAGUCAUGAUCCUAUUUGAUUUCCAUAAGCAGAAGAGGGGUCACUGUUUCCAUGUUAUGAGAGAGGAAACUGAGGUUCAGAGAGUGGAAGGACCCUGAUGAGAUAAUAAAUAGAACUGGGGCUCAAAUCCUGGUCUCCUGACUCAACAUUUCGCGUUCUUUCCACUGUGUCAUUAUUCAUUAAGCAAGUUUCUCUGCAGACAACUCACAGAGCCACAACGUAUGAAGCAGCAUGGUGAUGCCAGUAGACUGGUCAUCAUCAAAAGACAUGGCCUGGGGGAAGAGAAAGCAAGAGAGCUGGAGAGAGCAGAGAACGCAUGAGGGAAGGGCUUGGCCGUGCAGUUCUAACAGGGAGGUCCUUCCUUUCAGCCCCCGAAUGUCCCAGUGUGUCUCAUCUAAAAAGCGAAAACGGAGGAGAACUAGAGCUUAUGGUUGAAGGCGUGAGAAUGAGUACAGACUGGAUUUCCAUGGAAGAAAGAAAAUCAACAUGUAUUGGGAGUCAACGUCUCAUUCAAUCCUGUGAGUUUAUUCUGCCUAUUUUUCAGAUAAGGAGACUAAGGCUUCAAGAGGGUAAGUAAAUCACCCACAGUGUCACUGCUGUUGUGGGAAUGAGCGUCAGGAUCAUUGAAUCAUGCUGCUUCCCAGGUUUCUUGUAAGGGCUUCAAGUGUUGUGGGUAAGGGCUUGGGUGCUGCCAUCAGAUGACUGUGCGUUUAAAGCCUGAGCCCACCCACACCAGCUGUGUUACUUGAAACAUGCUAUUAAACUUGCCUAAACUUCAGUUUGCUCAUUGUAAGAUGGGAGCAGUAACAGUGCCCACCUCAUAGGACUGAUGAGCUAAAGCGUAUAAAGUACUAAUAAGUAUCUAAUAAAGUUCAGUAAUUAUGUCACUAUUAAUACCACUGUUAUAAUCACUACUGUUGUCUAAGGAGACCCAGGUGACAUGAAGCUAUUAUGCCCUUUGGACUUGAGAUCUUGAAUUAGGGUUUGAUUAUGAGACCAGACAAGCAGUGAGAUUUAAAUAUUCAUAGACCAGGGUCUAUCUAGGUCUCAUGGGACAAGGAGGGGACCCUCACAAUUGAUUUCCCUGAGAUGGGAGGGGAAACUCUGCUAGAGGCAUUUGCACCUUACUAAGCAUCUGUGGUGUAUCAAGCUCUCUGCCAGCUUGUGAGGAUGUAAUGUUCAUUAAGACAUGUUCCCAUGAGCUCUGGUCCAGAUUCUACCAGUAUGUAGCUGGACCACUGGUUUCUCCUAAGACAAACACAGGAGCCAGAUGACUCCUGUAGUCCCUUGUAGACCUAGUCCAGCCCUUGGUGGUUCUGUGAACAGUCACUCACCCAGGGUCUGUCCCAUAGAAGUGCCAGCAGUCUUCCCAGGGGAGCGAUUAGGAGACUCUUGCUCCUUCAUCCUCUGUGAGGGUUGAGAGCCUGAACAGCCUCCAGCCUGGGCCAAGUGUUCUUGGAGGAUGCACUUCCUUACCCUAGUCCCUCAUCAGUGCCUCCUGUAAGAGCUCCAAUGCUUUCUGAGCAAUUGACUCCUAUAUCCAUAUAUCCCUACCACUCCUCAAACCAAACUGCCAACCACCUCUAAGGCAGCUAUUGAUUUUACUGACCAUAAUGGAGUGUGUUCUGUGUGUAGUCACAGCACUAAACAUCAGAAGGGAUUCAAAGAGGAAUCAGGCUAAUGCCUUUCAUCCAAGGAACUGGCAGAUGGAUGAGCCAGAUUGGCACGCACACAGUCAGCACAAGGGUAUAGGCUGUGAUGGAGCUGGGUGUGCAGAGAACAGAGAGAGGAAUUAGCAUCCAGUUUCCAAUCCUAGUGCUAUAGCUGACAUUAAGGUAUUCUAUUACUCUCUCCAGACACAGCCAACUUUAUUCCUCAAGGUAAACACUUACUCUAUGCCAAUAACUAUGCCAAGGAUGCUUAUGCAUUAUAUUAAUUAAUGAGAGUUUCUCAACCUCAACACUGUGGACACUUUGGGCUGGAUAAUUCUUUGUUGUGGGAGCUGCCCUGUGCAUUGCAGGAUGUUUAGCAGCACCCCUGGCCUCUGUCCACCAGACACCAGCAGCACCACCCCCUUCCCCAGUUGCGACAACCAAAAAUGUUUGCAGACAUUGUCAAGUGUCCCCUGGGGACAAAGUCACCCUCAGUUGGGAACCACUAAGGGAAUCCUAAUAUAGACCAAUGACAAAGGUACAACUAUUAUUUCUACUUUACGGUAAACUGAGGCGUAACAAGGUUAAACCACAUGUUCAAGUCACAUAGGAAGAGCUGGGAGGUGGGCCAAUCUGUUUCCACAGCCCUUACGUUUAUUGUCCUUCCUGCUUUGCCUAUCUCUGCACGCAUGGUGCUGAGGACUCUGUAAUACUUAAUAAACCCAUGCAAAGGUGGACCAUUUCUUAUGGCAAUCCCUACUAUUUAUACUACAUUUACUACCUUACCUUCUGUAAACCACACUACAACUCUACAGUGUAGCUUCCUGCUCCCAUUUUAUAAAGGAGCACACUGAGACCUAGAUUGACAGGAGGGGAUUGCCCCAAGUCACAGAGCAGAGCAGCCACCAGAGGCUGGCUUUGGGCCCACGUCUUGUAAUUCUACACUCUCUAAUACUCAGAGAGUUGAGUAAACACCAAUUAAACUAUGGGAGGAUGGCAGGCUGGCAGGCAACUUAAUAAAAAAAAAAAGCAAAUCCAUCAUGAUGGAUAUAUUUAGCAGGUAAAUUAUUAUGUGAUGGUAUAAAAAUAGAUCAAGAGAGAGCACAUGAGAUUGCAAGCCUGACUGUGUGAGAGACAGGGAAGGCACGUGGAGAGUGUCAGGUACAUUUAAUUAACUUUGCUGGGAAAACAGUCAGAGGCUGCCACCUGAAACCAAAACAUUCAUGGGCUUCACUUAAAGUCACAAUAUAUGUAGUCCUAUUGGGAAGAGUCAUAAUCCAAUAAAGCUUGAAGUCAUUGAUUAAAACAAUGUCAAUGCUCAAAUGCUUUGGUGGGUAAACCCAAUUCUCAUCUGUAUAUGGGAUAACCAGGAAUGCAUUUGUGGGCUGUGUGACCCACAAGCUCGCUGACAUUAAAAUGGUCCACUCAGUUUUCUGCUCAGAUGGAUUUCCAAGAGAGAAGGAAAUCAACAUGUAUUGAGAGUCAACAACUCAUUCAUUGCUGUGAGUUUAUUCUGCCUAUUUUAGACAAAGAGACUCAGGCUUCAAGAGGGCAAGUAAAUUGCCCAUACUGCCACCGCUGGUGCAGGAAUGAGCUUCUGGGAAGAGUCAGGUUCAUUGAGUCCUGCUACCACCAGGUACCUCAUGAGGCCAUCCAGUCUUGCGGCUAAGGGUUUAGGUGCUGCUGUCCAGACGAUUGUGAGUUUAAAUCCUGGGCCCACCCACGCCAGCUCUGUUACUUGAAGCAUGCUAUUGAACUUGCCUAAACUUCAGUUUGCUCAUCUGUAAAAUGGGAGCUAUAAUAGUGCCAGUCUCAUAAGACUGAUGGGAGAAUGUAAUGAGCUAAAGUGUGCAAAGCACUGAUAAAUAUCUAAUGAAAGCUUGGCAAUGAUAAAAUGCCAUUAUUAAUAUGGUUACCAUUGUGCUAAUGUCUAGAGGAGCCCCAUAUGGCAUGGAGCUAUACCCUGUGGACUUAUGAUCUCUCUUUAUUCCAUGCAAAAUGGAAAGUGUACAGUCAUGAAUCAGGGUUUGAGUGUGAGAGCAGACAAGUAGUGAUAUUUAAAUAUUCAUUAGCCAGGGUUCAUCUAGGUCCCUGGGGACAGGCGAGGAGCCUCAGGAUUAAUUUCAGGGGACUUUUCCCUGAAAUGGGUGGGGAAACUCUGCUAUGGUCAUGUACAUCUUAUUAAGCACUGCUUGACAUCCUCCCUACCACAAAAGUGCUGUGAUUUCAAGAUUUCCCUCUUUUACGGGAAAACCAUAGCACAAGAAUCUACACUUCAAACCUUAUAUCUAUCUAUUUAAGCACAGAAGGAGCCUGUUACUUCAUAGAAGAAUCAUAUUUUGCCUUCAGAAGAAGCAGUUAUCAAGUGCUCGCUGGACUUCAGCUGUUUUCACAUCCAUUUUAGUUUGAAACUCAAUUGCCCUGCAGACCUUGUGAUCCUUGAGUGACAGGUGAGGCACCUGAGAACAUGGGAGUGAAUGCACAUGCUCAUGGCUUUCCUGGAAUUUGUGGCAUUGGAAAAUGGAAGUGCCUGAGGCUACGGCAGACAUCCUAGCAGCAUCCCACCUGACAGAGGAGAUGAGAGUGGGGCUGGCGAGGGUUCAGGAAUCAGCUCUGGGUUCCAAUACUGUUUCCACCAGUCACUACUGGAGAUGGGCCCUUCCACAGCUCAUCGGUAGAGUUAGGAUAACAACAUUUACCAGCUUGUAAGAAAUAAAAUGGAUAAGUAUGUGAAGUUUCUAACAGAGUAUGGAUUUUGAUGAGCCUGAAUUCCAUCCUCUUCAUUCAACAAGCAUGUCUGAAAUCCACCUAUGUGCAAAGCGUUGUAUACUACACAAGUUUUACAGCUGGGUGAGUUGGCUUAUGUCUGUAAUCCCAGCACUUUGGGAGACUGAGGCAGGAGGAUUGCCUGAACCCAGGAGUUUGAGACCAG